CAUUGCGAAGGAUAAGAUUAAGACCUUAAUUUUCAAUG
Molecule: non-coding RNA, 38 nt
Filed under: unclassified sequences
Source: RNAcentral